AACAGAUAAGGAGCUUGCUCCUUUGACGUUAGCGGCGGACGGGUGAGUAACACGUGGGUAACCUACCUAUAAGACUGGGAUAACUUCGGGAAACCGGAGCUAAUACCGGAUAACAUUUGGAACCGCAUGGUUCUAAAGUGAAAGAUGGUUUUGCUAUCACUUAUAGAUGGACCCGCGCCGUAUUAGCUAGUUGGUAAGGUAACGGCUUACCAAGGCGACGAUACGUAGCCGACCUGAGAGGGUGAUCGGCCACACUGGAACUGAGACACGGUCCAGACUCCUACGGGAGGCAGCAGUAGGGAAUCUUCCGCAAUGGGCGAAAGCCUGACGGAGCAACGCCGCGUGAGUGAUGAAGGGUUUCGGCUCGUAAAACUCUGUUAUUAGGGAAGAACAAACGUGUAAGUAACUGUGCACGUCUUGACGGUACCUAAUCAGAAAGCCACGGCUAACUACGUGCCAGCAGCCGCGGUAAUACGUAGGUGGCAAGCGUUAUCCGGAAUUAUUGGGCGUAAAGCGCGCGUAGGCGGUUUCUUAAGUCUGAUGUGAAAGCCCACGGCUCAACCGUGGAGGGUCAUUGGAAACUGGGAAACUUGAGUGCAGAAGAGGAAAGUGGAAUUCCAUGUGUAGCGGUGAAAUGCGCAGAGAUAUGGAGGAACACCAGUGGCGAAGGCGACUUUCUGGUCUGUAACUGACGCUGAUGUGCGAAAGCGUGGGGAUCAAACAGGAUUAGAUACCCUGGUAGUCCACGCCGUAAACGAUGAGUGCUAAGUGUUAGGGGGUUUCCGCCCCUUAG
RNAcentral lists this ribosomal RNA (793 nucleotides) under Staphylococcus sp. IMCC1752. Its description in RNAcentral is "bacterial SSU rRNA". It matches the Rfam family "Bacterial small subunit ribosomal RNA", at positions 68 to 843 of the family's 1533-position model. Lineage: Bacteria; Bacillati; Bacillota; Bacilli; Caryophanales; Staphylococcaceae. The record is from RNAcentral.